GGGGGAAUGGUCUUAAACUGAGACAGGGGAGGUUUAGGUUGGAUAUUAGGAGGAAGUUUUUCACACAGAGGGUGGUGACGCACUGAACAGGUUGCCCAAGGAGGCUGUGGAUGCCCCAUCCCUGGAGGCAUUCAAGGCCAGGCUGGAUGUGGCUCUGGGCAGCCUGGUCUGCUGGUUGGUGACCCUGCACAUAGCAGGGGGUUGAAACUGGAUGAGCAUUGUGGUCCUUUUUAACCCAGGCCAUUCUAUGAUUCUAUG
Molecule: long non-coding RNA, 258 nt
Filed under: Gallus gallus (chicken)
Lineage: Eukaryota; Metazoa; Chordata; Aves; Galliformes; Phasianidae
Source: RNAcentral